RNAcentral lists this ribosomal RNA (215 nucleotides) under Fragaria nubicola. RNAcentral's name for it is "5.8S ribosomal RNA". The stretch from base 11 to 166 matches the Rfam family "5.8S ribosomal RNA". From Rfam's summary of the family: 5.8S ribosomal RNA (5.8S rRNA) is a component of the large subunit of the eukaryotic ribosome. It is transcribed by RNA polymerase I as part of the 45S precursor that also contains 18S and 28S rRNA. Lineage: Eukaryota; Viridiplantae; Streptophyta; Magnoliopsida; Rosales; Rosaceae. The record is from RNAcentral.
AUGUCUAAACGACUCUCGGCAACGGAUAUCUCGGCUCUCGCAUCGAUGAAGAACGUARCGAAAUGCGAUACUUGGUGUGAAUUGCAGAAUCCCGUGAACCAUCGAGUCUUUGAACGCAAGUUGCGCCCGAAGCCGUUAGGCCGAGGGCACGUCUGCCUGGGCGUCACACGYCGUUGCCCCCCCCGACCCCUYCGGGGGYCGGACGGGACGGAUGA